GUGCACCGGGGCAGUGGCUGCUGCCUCCAGCUCUAAAUAGUUUGGGGCUGGCCCGGUUCCCAGACUGCACUGGAACACUGGGCUUUAUGCCCCCACAUUCAGUGCAUUUGUAUAGAGCAAAUGCUGGCCGCCAACCCAGGCAAGACCCCGAUCAGCCUUCUGCAGGAGUAUGGGACCAGAAUAGGGAAGACGCCUGUGUACGACCUUCUCAAAGCCGAGGGCCAAGCCCACCAGCCUAAUUUCACCUUCCGGGUCACCGUUGGCGACACCAGCUGCACUGGUCAGGGCCCCAGCAAGAAGGCAGCCAAGCACAAGGCAGCUGAGGUGGCCCUCAAACACCUCAAAGGGGGGAGCAUGCUGGAGCCGGCCCUGGAGGACAGCAGGUGAGGGAGGAACCGAGGCAUCCCAGAAGCCCUUCAAGGAACCCAGGCCCUGCACCACCCCCUCUGCCCCCAGGCCUGGCCAGGUUGGAGUCUGUUGCUCCUCUGGUUCUUGGGUACAAAGAUACCCUCUUCUCUGAGACCCUCUUUUCUCAAUCUUUUUGCCAGUGUUUGGCA
Molecule: small RNA, 557 nt
Filed under: Pongo abelii (Sumatran orangutan)
Lineage: Eukaryota; Metazoa; Chordata; Mammalia; Primates; Hominidae
Description: processed transcript
Source: RNAcentral